GAUGAACGCUGGCGGCGUGCCUAAUACAUGCAAGUCGAGCGAAGCGGGGACGGGUGAGUAACACGUGGAUAACCUCCUAUAAGACUGGGAUAACUUCGGGACACCGGUGCUAAUCCCGAUACUUAUACAUUGAUCCCCGCUGCAUUAGCUAGUUGGUAAGGUAACGGCUUACCAAGGCAACGAUGCAUAGCCGAGCUGAGAGGGUGAUCGGCCACACUGGAACUGCGACACGGGCCAGACUCCUACGGGAGGCAGCAGUAGGGAAUCUUCCGCAAUGGGCGAAAGCCUGACGGAGCAACGCCGCGUGAGUGAUGAAGGUCUUCGGAUCGUAAAACUCUGUUAUUAGGGAAGCGGUACAUAAAGAGAAAGCAACGGCUAACUACGUGCCAGCAGCCGCGGUAAUUG
Molecule: ribosomal RNA, 405 nt
Filed under: uncultured bacterium
Lineage: Bacteria
Description: partial 16S ribosomal RNA
Rfam family: Bacterial small subunit ribosomal RNA
Source: RNAcentral